Bacillus rossius redtenbacheri is the source of this 2012-nucleotide long non-coding RNA. RefSeq lists it as uncharacterized. The record is from RefSeq and is a predicted model, not a curated record. The transcript has 3 exons. Lineage: Eukaryota; Metazoa; Arthropoda; Insecta; Phasmatodea; Bacillidae.
UGUUGAGGUUAGUGUCUGGUGACCGUAGAUAUUUUAUUUUUUGUGUGCAAUUGUCAGUGAAGAUAAUGAGUACGCCGAAAAAUAUCGCGUUCACUCAAGCAGACAAAUACAUUUUGUUUGACUUGAUAAAAAAAUAUAAGAACAUAGUUGAAAAUAAGAAAACGGACUCUGUUUCAAAUACUGAAAAGAAGGCUACGUGGAAAAUUAUAGCCUUGGAGUUUAACGCAAGUAACGUGACAACUAAAAGAGAUGAUGGCCAGCUAAAAAGGUGUUGGGAAAAGACAAAAACCACAGCAAGGAAGCAUCGUCAAACAGAAAGAAGUCAUGCUAUGGCAACAGGUGGGGGCAAAGCUUUUGUUUCCCCACCUCAGCUGGAAGAAAUGGCAACUGUGGUUUCCUCUAUCCAGCCCUAUUUUGAUUUGGAGGUGGUUUCGGCAUGGGAUAGCAACACGAUCCACCUCCAGGAUGCCAGGGCUGACUGCAGUGCCACAACUGUUUGUGCAGAAGUAGUCGCAAUGGAUGAAGUGGCAGAUGCUCCAGACACCCCACCUCUAAUUAUUGGAGCUGCUAGGCCUACUACAUCCCAGAACUUUGAUAAUCCUGAUGAAACGUUUUUGGCUCCGAAACUGCCAAUUAACAAGAAGGGCUCCUUUUCUGUAAAGUCCGCCCACAUGGUUGAGGCAGAGGUAAAGAAAAGGAUUGAGAAAAUUGAUGAAGAGAUUAGAAUGCUUAGGGAAAGUCAUGCAGCAAAACUUAAACAAGAUGCUGAGUUGCAUGCUGCGGUAAUGCGGCAAAAUGAGGAGCUACACAAGGUUAAACUUGCAAGGGAACAACUUUUGUUGCGCCAGUUGCAGGCAGAUGAACAUAAAAGUACAGAAAAUAUUUGAAGUUAAUUUAUCAACAAUGUAAUUUUGUAUUUAGAAAUUUUGUCAUUGUUAAUUUAGUUUUGUAUUUAGAAUUUGUCCAUUUACAUAAAAUAAAAAAAUGUUUAUCUUCAUUUACUUUUAAUUGCAAAACCUGUUUGUACUAAUUGCAUGAUUAAAGUUUGAAGGGGGCUUAUAAUGUUGCAGCACUUUAUAAUUUAUAACUUUUGUAUGAUGAAAUUAACAUUAAAAACAAAACUGAAAAAAAAAAAACACUUCGUUAAUGGUGUUAUGGAAGUAAGGCUGUGUACGUAAUACAAGAAACAAAUAAUUGUCUUAUUACAUGGGAUGGUAAAACGGUGAUUACUGCUAAACUAUUAGGAAUUUUUUAUCUCAGCCUUUUUUUUUAUUAAAUUCAGGAAGUUGAAGAGCAUAGAAUUAAGUUAUUUUGGCAUUUUUAAUUAUAUUAUUUCAGAAGUUUAUAUUUCUGAUGAAUUUAAAUUAAUUUUUUUUAUUUGUAAAAAAAUACUUGGAUAACUGAUAAACUUGUUGUUUUGUUCAAACUUCCUUGUUAAUAUGCAGGUUGUUCAAAUUCUGGAAAGUCAGGGAAAAGCAAUAAAUUUACUUAAAACAUGGAAAAGUCAUGGAAAUUUCUCAAUGAUAGUAAUUUGAGGGAGAAAUGUCAUGCUCUGCUAUGCCAUCAUCCAGACUUUAAACAUGUAUUUGGUUUUUCAGAUGGUGUUCUAGUACAUAGUCACACAUUGUGUAAAAUGGCAUAUGCAAGGUUCUGUUAGAACUAGUGCAUCUAUAGGGAUGGUGUAGAUUGAAUUGUCCUUAAUUCUUUAAGAAAAUUGUAAAGUAUGUAAAUCAUUCAAAUGACUCAUCAGGGAAUUUUGUCAUUGGAAAUUUUAUGGAUAUUUGUGUGUGCAUAUUUAUUCUUCCAAGUUGUAUGUUAAAACAUAAAUAAUUCAACAAUGAUAAGCUAUUUAUAGAUGACUGGUUCUAUUACUUUUACUAAAGUGAUUAGAACUCUAAUUUACAUCUGCCUAGUAAAGUUUAUUUAUUUAAUUAUAUGUACCUACUAUUUAUAGCAAAUGUUUUUUUUUACAAAAGUCAUUAGAAUUUUAACUAACAUCAGCCUUAUGUAGU